RNAcentral lists this long non-coding RNA (932 nucleotides) under Sus scrofa (pig). RNAcentral describes it as "lncRNA (ENSSSCG00060039583.1)". The record is from RNAcentral. Lineage: Eukaryota; Metazoa; Chordata; Mammalia; Artiodactyla; Suidae.
CCUCUCCUAGGAAGGUGACCCUGACACCCAUACUGCAGCUCCCCAGUGGUUAUGUGGUCCCCUCCUGCCACCAUUUGCCCAGAUGCGCCUCUUGCUUCAGAGACACAGUGACCUGCUGAAGGGCAGAGCCUCUCGGCCUUGAUGUCCACUACACUCUGCAAAGAGCCAUGGGUCUUCACGGAGCUGCAGCUCCAUCUGCCACCUCCAUUCAGGCAAGGCCUGCUGUGGGAGCAGCUCACAGGACAAAAGGAAAUGGAGCCCCAGAAAAGGGAAACAACUGUGACCCAGCCAGUGCCUCCCUGCCAGCAGCAGAACUGACACGCCCAACUCCCAAUUCCACUUUCUAAACAGGCUGGUCCGGGAGUUCGUGGCCCAGAACAACACCGUGCAGAUCAAACAUGUGAUCCAGACCCUGUCUCAGGAGUUUGCCCUGUCUCAGCACCCCCACAGCCGGAAAGGGGGCCUCAUCGGCCUGGCCGCCUGCUCCAUCGCACUGGGCAAGGUGGGCCUUUCUCCCGGAGGGACAGACACACCAGCUGUGGCCUUGACUCUGACCCCCGAGCCCCACCAGGGCGUUGCAGUCCUAUAUUUUAUAUACUGCACACCUCAGACCAGCAAGGCUGGCUCUGUGGCCUUGCUGCCUGGGUCCUAGCCAUGGACCCUAUCCCAGGAGGUGGACUUGCAAAGGGUCUCCUAGCCCAGUCCUCACACAAAGGCCUGAGCAUCUUCAAGGGAGCCAGGGACUGGGGCCCCAGGGUCGGACGCUUAAUGAGCCGCUUGUCCUCCUGUCACAUCACAGGACUCGGGGCUCUACCUGAAGGAGCUGAUCAAUCCCGUGCUGACCUACCUCAGUGAUGCCAACAGCAGGCUGCUGUGCUGCCCCACUUCAACGUGAUCUUUGAUGAGCUGAGCAAGGUGAUCCCUCCUCACCC